This 465-nucleotide ribosomal RNA is filed under the name uncultured bacterium. Its description in RNAcentral is "partial 16S ribosomal RNA". It matches the Rfam family "Bacterial small subunit ribosomal RNA", at positions 338 to 795 of the family's 1533-position model. The record is from RNAcentral.
CCUACGGGAGGCAGCAGUAGGGAAUCUUCCACAAUGGGUGCAAGCCUGAUGGAGCAACACCGCGUGAGUGAAGAAGGGUUUCGGCUCGUAAAGCUCUGUUGUUGGAGAAGAACGUGCGUGAGAGUAACUGUUCACGCAGUGACGGUAUCCAACCAGAAAGUCACGGCUAACUACGUGCCAGCAGCCGCGGUAAUACGUAGGUGGCAAGCGUUAUCCGGAUUUAUUGGGCGUAAAGCGAGCGCAGGCGGUUGCUUAGGUCUGAUGUGAAAGCCUUCGGCUUAACCGAAGAAGUGCAUCGGAAACCGGGCAACUUGAGUGCAGAAGAGGACAGUGGAACUCCAUGUGUAGCGGUGGAAUGCGUAGAUAUAUGGAAGAACACCAGUGGCGAAGGCGGCUGUCUGGUCUGCAACUGACGCUGAGGCUCGAAAGCAUGGGUAGCGAACAGGAUUAGAUACCCCAGUAGUC